RNAcentral lists this ribosomal RNA (161 nucleotides) under Centaurea debdouensis. Its description in RNAcentral is "5.8S ribosomal RNA". It matches the Rfam family "5.8S ribosomal RNA". Rfam says of the family: 5.8S ribosomal RNA (5.8S rRNA) is a component of the large subunit of the eukaryotic ribosome. It is transcribed by RNA polymerase I as part of the 45S precursor that also contains 18S and 28S rRNA. The record is from RNAcentral. Lineage: Eukaryota; Viridiplantae; Streptophyta; Magnoliopsida; Asterales; Asteraceae.
ACGACUCUCGGCAACGGAUAUCUCGGCUCACGCAUCGAUGAAGAACGUAGCAAAAUGCGAUACUUGGUGUGAAAUGCAGAAUCCCGUGAACCAUCGAGUUUUUGAACGCAAGUUGCGCCCGAAGCCAUUCGGCCGAGGGCACGUCUGCCUGGGCGUCACGC